Molecule: long non-coding RNA, 2280 nt
Filed under: Homo sapiens (human)
Lineage: Eukaryota; Metazoa; Chordata; Mammalia; Primates; Hominidae
Description: HSALNT0312881
Source: RNAcentral
GGAAGAUGCCAGCUCUGCCUGGCGCCCGCAGCCCAGAUCUCCUGCCCGGAGUACGGGGGCGCGGGCGCAGCCACCAAAGCUGAAAUGUGACCGCGUCCCGGUCCCUUCCUGCUCUGGGGCGCGAAGCUGCCAAGAAACCGGCUGCGGUCUCCAGGAGGGGCCAGGAGGCAAAAUGGAAGGAAGCGCUGGAUCUCCGCGGCGGAAGUCAUUCUUAUGCCCUGCCAAAGGGUAGAGGGCAGCAACCGACUUGUGCGAAAGGAGGGAACGUGUGGGUCUGCCAGGGUCCUGCAGGGGGGAUGAGACCCUCGCUCCGCUCCGGCGAUCCCUUCGCUCUCCACCCUCGGCCAGCCCCUCCUGUCCUCCAUCAGGCCUCGCUGAGGAUACCUCCUGGGUUCCAAAGCGCGAGUUGAACCUGAGCUUGACAUUCAUUCCGUCUCGUACAAAAGCCAUGCCUGCGGGGAGAGGGAGAAAAUUUCCUACAGGAGCCUCAAGACUGCGUUUCAGGAAGCCCUAGGACCCACUGAUCCUGCAGCUGCGCCUCUCACUCGCCUCAGGUCCUGAGCUGGAACGAUGGAAUCUAGCAGAAGUUGCCUUUCCAGAUUCAAACGGCUUCUAUGGUGGAUUCACACAAAAGAAAUUAGUAGAAGAAAGAAUUUUGCUAAAUUUCUUUUCAGAAAGACUUUACUCAUUUAUCAGCAAUAAAUAGUAUCUGUUAUGAGUUAAAUUGUGUCUCCAAAAAGAUAUGCUGGGGUAAUAGCCACUGGGAACUUUGAAUGUAAUCUUAUUUGGAAAUAGGGUCUUUGCUAAUAUUAUCAAAUUAAGAUGAAGUCAUAUCAAAUUAAGUAUGACUGUCCUUAUAAGAGGAGAAGAGACACAGACACAGAGGAAAGACUGCCAUAUGAAGAUGGGGCAAGGAUUGGAGUUACAUUGCUACAAGCCAAGGAAUGCCUGGCACUACCAGAAGCUGGAGGAGACAAGGGAGGAUUAAUGUCCUUUAGGAGCUUCAAAGGAAAUAUGUCCCUCUCAACAACUUGACUUCUAAUGUUGUGAUGGUUAAUACUGAGUGUCAACUUGAUUGGGUUGAAGGAUACAAAGUAUUGAUCCUGGGUGUGUCUGUGCCAAAGGAGAUUAACAUUUGAGUCAGUGGGAUGGAAAGGCAGACGCACCCUUAAUCUGGGUGGGCAAAAUCUAAGCUGCUAGCAUGACUAGAAUAUAAGCAGGCAGAAAAAUGUGAAAAAGAGAGACUGGCCUAGACUCCCAGCCUACGUCUUUAUCCUGUGCUAGAUGCAUCCUGUCCUUGAACAUCAGACUCUUAAGUCCUUCAAUUUUGGAACUCACACUGGCUCUCCUUGCUCCUCAGCCUGCAGACAGCCUAUUGUGGGACCUUGUGAUCAUAGACGGUCUUGUUCUGUCACCCAGGUUUGAAUGCAGUGGCAUGAUCAUAACUAAAUGCAACCUCAAACUCCCCAGCUCAAGAGAUCCUUCCACUUCAGCCUCCCGAGUAGCUAGGACUACAGUCAUGCGCCACCACAGCCAGCUAAAUUUAUUUUUUUGUAAAGACAGUCUUUCAAUGUUGCCCAGACUGGUCUCAAACUCUUUGUCCCAAGUGACUCUCCUGCCUCGACCUCCCAAAGUGUUGGGAUUACAGGCGUGAGCCACCAUGUUAAAUGAGAAAAUAAAUUUACGCAGUUUUAAGCCAUCCAGCUUGUGAUACGUUGUUAUGGGAGCCCUAGGAAAUUAAUACACCAUUAUUUUCAAAGUGCUGCUAAUUUAUAAGACAACAUUGGUUUUUAAUUGUUCUGAUUUUCAAAAAUAUCUGCUGACUUAAAAUAUGAAGAUUGUAUUCAAGUGUUCUGAUUUUCAUUGAAGUUAAAAAUUUGUCUUAAAUACUAGACAUUUACUUCUAUCAAUUUUCUCACAAUGUUUUUAUACCUUUUUCUCAGUUAUUGUAACAUUAGUGUUCUUUUUAAUCAAUAUAUUAUGAAUGUCACUUUUUAUCCAUCACAUUAAUUACAAAUGUUUUUCUCUAGUUUUUGGUUUCCUAUAACUUACUUCCUAAAUAUAUAAAAUAAACAGAAAUAAUUUUAUGUGUGUAGAAUAUUUUUACUUAAGAAGAAUAGAUUGUCAAAUUACAACCACCAUCACCACCACCACCAACAUGAGAUUCUCUUGGAAAUAUAUCAAAAUAUUAUCAAAAGUCUUAAAAGUCUGUCUUUUAGAAGCAAAAAGGAAUAAAAACAGUGCAUAUGUAGUUUUAAUGUUAUGAAUGACAGGUUAGGG